RNAcentral lists this ribosomal RNA (486 nucleotides) under uncultured bacterium. RNAcentral describes it as "partial 16S ribosomal RNA". It matches the Rfam family "Bacterial small subunit ribosomal RNA", at positions 30 to 507 of the family's 1533-position model. The record is from RNAcentral.
AUUGAACGCUGGCGGCAUGCCUUACACAUGCAAGUCGAACGGCAGCACGGGUGCUUGCACCUGGUGGCGAGUGGCGAACGGGUGAGUAAUACAUCGGAACAUGUCCUGUAGUGGGGGAUAGCCCGGCGAAAGCCGGAUUAAUACCGCAUACGAUCCACGGAUGAAAGCGGGGGACCUUCGGGCCUCGCGCUAUAGGGUUGGCCGAUGGCUGAUUAGCUAGUUGGUGGGGUAAAGGCCUACCAAGGCGGCGAUCAGUAGCUGGUCUGAGAGGACGACCAGCCACACUGGGACUGAGACACGGCCCAGACUCCUACGGGAGGCAGCAGUGGGGAAUUUUGGACAAUGGGCGAAAGCCUGAUCCAGCAAUGCCGCGUGUGUGAAGAAGGACUUCGGGUUGUAAAGCACUUUUGUCCGGAAAGAAAUCCUUGACUCUAAUACAGUCGGGGGAUGACGGUACCGGAAGAAUAAGCACCGGCUAACUACGUG